AGUGAACGCUGGCGGUAGGCCUGACACAUGCAAGUCGAACGGCAGCACAGUAAGAGCUUGCUCUUACGGGUGGCGAGUGGCGGACGGGUGAGGAAUACAUCGGAAUCUACUUUUUCGUGGGGGAUAACGUAGGGAAACUUACGCUAAUACCGCAUACGACCUACGGGUGAAAGCAGGGGAUCUUCGGACCUUUCGCGAUUGAAUGAGCCGAUGUCGGAUUAGCUAGUUGGCGGGGUAAAGGCCCACCAAGGCGACGAUCCGUAGCUGGUCUGAGAGGAUGAUCAGCCACACUGGAACUGAGACACGGUCCAGACUCCUACGGGAGGUAGCAGUGGGGAAUAUUGGACAAUGGGCGGAAGCCUGAUCCAGCCAUACCGCGUGGGUGAAGAAGGCCUUCGGGUUGUAAAGCCCUUUUGUUGGGAAAGAAAAGCAGCAGGUUAAUACCCCGCUGUUCUGACGGUACCCAAAGAAUAAGCACCGGCUAACUUCGUG
RNAcentral lists this ribosomal RNA (492 nucleotides) under uncultured bacterium. RNAcentral describes it as "partial 16S ribosomal RNA". It matches the Rfam family "Bacterial small subunit ribosomal RNA", at positions 29 to 507 of the family's 1533-position model. The record is from RNAcentral.